CAUGACCCUGGGAGUACAGCACCCUGACCAGGAGCUCUCCCAACUCUCCUUCAAGGAUUCCAGGCUCCAGCUCUAAGGUACUAUAUGCUCUUUUAUGUGGAUCAUCUCGUUUCAUCCUCGCGGCAGCCUUAUUAGGAAUCUUCUGACAUUAGGGCAGAUUACUCAUGAUGGAAAAUGCAAAUGCCGGGCUCUGGGGAGGCCUGUCGUAAAGGAACCUGCAGAACCUGCAAAAAAUAUGGCGACUGAAACCAGAACCGUCAGUAUGCUCUGCUAUGCUGUGGUUCUCAAAGGCUCUUAUGCAAAAGCGAUUUCAGCAAAGCUGCUCUGGUGGAAGAGGGAGAGGAUGCCCGCCCUGCUUUUCCUUAAAGUGCCUGCCCCCCUCCUUGUGGGUACGGGGAACUGGGAGACCUGAGUUCCAGACUGAACUAUCCCACUGACUGUGUGUGAUCUUGAACAAGUUCCAGCCUCUCUGUUCUUAAUUCUCUCAACCAUAAGAUGAAGAGAUCCCACGGUCCCUUCCAUUCUAAUAGCUAUGAUUUUCAAAGUCUUCCUACCAGCUUUCUCUGGAGCCCCUCCAGUCUCUCUGAGCUAUGGGAGCUCCACUUGUGGCUUCCAUCUUCGGCGAAGGUUGUGCUUUUCCCUUAUCCAAUGAGGAGUCAGAAUUUUCGAGGUAACUAAAUGAUACUGUAUCUAGUGCUGUAGAUGAGAUGAUAGGUUGUGCCUGUCCAAAUUUGCAUUGUGGUUCGGGAGAAACUAGGAAAAACAAACAUUGGAAGCCACAGAUAAUGAGCUAGUGUUCAGAAUGCAAGGGGCAGGAUUUCUGUAAACAAUAAUAACAUUGAUGACAAUAAACAACCAAUGUGCAUAUAUGGGUAACAAUCAGCAUUAAUUGUAUUUAAAUCUACACCUCAGAUACUUUUUGCUAUCGUGUGAGAAUGGUGAUCCUCGAUUCUGGUUGGGGAUUCCACAUUCCAGAAGUCUCCUCAUACCCACCCCAUGUAUACACAGAAAUUCCAAACCCAAUUGAUGUGGGUAGGGCUUAGUUUUCUGUAUUUGGGGAAUUCUGAAGUCAGCCAAGGUUGAGAAUCAAUGUAUUUAGAGAGCUGAUGGGCCUGUCUGCUGCUACCUCCAGGCAGACAUUUCCAUAUGCCCAUCAAAAGCAAGUAACAAAACCGAAAUCCUUUUAUCAUUUACCUGAGUAAAUCUAGCUUUCAGCGACUGUCAUUAUUGUUUCACUAUCACCCAACCCUGGUUUGGCAUGCAAUAGACAAAGUUAAUAUUUAUACUGUUUACGAAACAGUUCCGUAAGUACUGGAACCACGGCCCGCAGAAGCCAAUUUGCUGCAUCAUGAUCAUGUUGGAACUCUCUGUUGGCCAUUCAGUGGUCUGUGUGGCAGAGAGUUCAGGGACUUCGGACUAUCAAAGCCUCAGACUUUGCAAGUGCCAGAUAAUAGCUCCUGAUCUUCAAUAAUGUGACCAUAUAUAUAAAAAAAGUUUGGGCAAGCAGGAUAAUAUUGCUCCUGCUGAAGCUUAUUGCCUGGCACCGUAACCUUGUUUACUUGUUCUCUGAGAGGACUGGCAUCCCCGGUUCCAGCCCUGUGCUGCCAGCAGCUGUCCCUAAGUGAUUAAUGCAAGCAGGCAGAUAAACCUCGGGUCAUUUCUAAAUCGGAGAACUACCUGAAAAUUAAUACACCAGCUUAACCUCGUCUGACUAGGAUUGAAGAUUUUCUCAAACUGAUGUCCGUUUGACGUCGUGGCGGGGCUGAAGCUGCCCUUACUCUAAAUCAUACCUCUGUCACGGUGAUUCAAUCACCCAUUUGCUUAACUCGGUCAACAAACUCAUAUUUCCAAGUAGUACUCCUCAAAAGAGCUUCAGAGUGGACUCGGAAAGCAUCUCCUGCUUUCUUCCCUGCCUCUAAGACCAAGAAAACCAAGCGUCAGAAAUGAAGAAUUUCAGUGAAUGGGGUCUACUAAUUGGAUCCUGUCUGUGCAGGGUUUUCAAUCAGACUCCACAGUUUGCCUUUUCUAAAACACAGAAUAUCUCCCCACUUCGAAAGAGCUCAAUAAAUGAUUUUAAAAGAAAUAAAAACAUUAUUCUUUUUGUCUCAAUAAU
Equus quagga is the source of this 2113-nucleotide long non-coding RNA. RefSeq lists it as uncharacterized. NCBI's taxonomy places the organism in Eukaryota, Metazoa, Chordata, Mammalia, Perissodactyla, Equidae. The record is from RefSeq and is a predicted model, not a curated record. The transcript has 3 exons.